CCUACGGGUGGCAGCAGUGGGGGAUAUUGCACAAUGGGGGAAACCCUGAUGCAGCGACGCCGCGUGGGUGAAGAAGCGCCUCGGCGCGUAAAGCCCUGUCAGCAGGGAAGAAAAUGACGGUACCUGAAGAAGAAGCCCCUGCUAACUACGUGCCAGCAGCCGCGGUAAUACGUAGGGGGCAAGGGUUAUCCGGAUUUACUGGGAGUAAAGUGGGCGGAGACGGCGGUGCAAGCCAGGAGUGAAAGCCCGGGGCCCAACCCGGGGACUGCUCUUGGAACUGGGUGGCUGGAGUGCAGGAGGGGCAAGUGGAAUUCCAGGUGUAGCGGUGAAAUGCGUAGAUAUCAGGAGGAACACCGGUGGCGAAGGCGGCCUGCUGGACUACAACUGACGUUGAGGCGCGAAAGCGUGGGGAGCAAACAGGAUUAGAUACCCCAGUAGUC
This 440-nucleotide ribosomal RNA is filed under the name uncultured bacterium. RNAcentral describes it as "partial 16S ribosomal RNA". It matches the Rfam family "Bacterial small subunit ribosomal RNA", at positions 338 to 795 of the family's 1533-position model. The record is from RNAcentral.